UGCCAGCCGCCGCGGUAAUACGUAGGUGGCAAGCGUUGUCCGGAUUUAUUGGGCGUAAAGCGAGCGCAGGCGGAAGAAUAAGUCUGAUGUGAAAGCCCUCGGCUUAACCGAGGAAUUGCAUCGGAAACUGUUUUUCUUGAGUGCAGAAGAGGAGAGUGGAACUCCAUGUGUAGCGGUGGAAUGCGUAGAUAUAUGGAAGAACACCAGUGGCGAAGGCGGCUUUCUAGGCUGCACCUGACGCUGAGGGGCGAAAGCGUGGGGAGCAAACCGGAUUAGAUA
Molecule: ribosomal RNA, 279 nt
Filed under: uncultured bacterium
Lineage: Bacteria
Description: partial 16S ribosomal RNA
Rfam family: Bacterial small subunit ribosomal RNA
Source: RNAcentral